UCCUGGCAGAGCUGAAAGUCCUAUUGGUGUGGGGUGUACUGAUUUCAGCAUCUCAAAGUCUCACACAGGCACUCUGAGUUCUUGCUUAUCAGAACAAACAGAAGCCUCCCUUGUCAUGCUGACAUCAUGAGAUUUUCCUGGGAUCAAAGGUCAGGUGAUGAUAUGACCACAGAAACUCUGCAGACAGACAGUCAAACCUCCUGUGGUAUAAAGCUGCAAAUAAAUGCAAGGGUGAUUCUUCUGACACUUUCUGAAUGGCAAAGUCUGCAACUGGGGCUUUUGCAGCAUCUUUACAUUUCCGAGAGAAAAAUCAGUUUGGAAGCACAGUGAUGGAAUACUCUUCUUGUGUGGUUGCACCCACUACCUGUCUGCACUCCUGAGCUGGUUUUGCUGAUCACCCCUGAAUCUUCUCAUGUCAUGAACAAAGUUCAGAAGUGGACCCACAAGAACCUCAUGAAGUUUAGCGAGUCCAAGUGUAAGGUACUGCACCUGGAUGGGAGCAAUCUCAGCUGGGAGCACGCACUGGGAGGUAACUCAUUGAGAGCAGCCCUGCAGGGAAGAGUUUGGGGGUUCUCGUGGAUGAACAGCUGGAUGUGCCACAGCAGUGUGCAUUUGCAGCCCAGAAUGCCAUCCUGGACUGUGC
This is a non-coding RNA of Cyanistes caeruleus (blue tit), 643 nucleotides long. The record is from RefSeq and is a predicted model, not a curated record. NCBI's taxonomy places the organism in Eukaryota, Metazoa, Chordata, Aves, Passeriformes, Paridae.